UUUAGGGUACCUGAGAGGGUGACCCCCACCGAUGUGAUUGGGACCCCGUCCAUAAUCUUACGGGAGGCCGCAGUUGUGAAUCAUUCGCAAUGGACGAAAGUUUGACGGUGGUACUCAGCGUGGUAGAUUACGUCUUUCGAGAUGUAAAUACCUUUUAUAUGUUAAGGAUUUUAUCGUACUAGCAUAGUGAAUAAGGGGCUGCUAAUCACGUGCCAGCAGUCGCCGUAAUACGUGAGCCCCAAGUGUUAUCCGGAAUCAUUUGGUGUAAAGGGUCCGUAGGCGGUUAUAUUAGUCUCUUGUCAAAGCACCGGGCUUAACCCGGGAUCGGCAAGGGAAGCGGUAUUACUGGAGAGUGACAGAGGUGAAUGUCACGCAAGGGGUAUGGGUGAAAUUCCUUCAUAUCUUGGGGAACACCGAAAGUGAAGGCAAUUGACUGGGUUGUUUCAUACGCUUAGGGACGAAACCUUGGGUAGCGAACAGGAUUAGAUACCCUGGUAGUC
RNAcentral lists this ribosomal RNA (500 nucleotides) under uncultured bacterium. Its description in RNAcentral is "bacterial SSU rRNA". It matches the Rfam family "Bacterial small subunit ribosomal RNA", at positions 282 to 795 of the family's 1533-position model. The record is from RNAcentral.